UACGUAGGGUGCAAGCGUUGUCCGGAAUUAUUGGGCGUAAAGAGCUUGUAGGCGGUUUGUCGCGUCUGCUGUGAAAUUUCGGGGCUCAACCCCGAACUUGCAGUGGGUACGGGCAGACUAGAGUGUGGUAGGGGAGACUGGAAUUCCUGGUGUAGCGGUGAAAUGCGUAGAUAUCUGGAGGAACACCGGUGGCGAAGGCGGCAUUCUGGACCGAUAUUGACGCUGAGGAGCGAAAGCGUGGGGAGCGAACAGG
Molecule: ribosomal RNA, 253 nt
Filed under: uncultured bacterium
Lineage: Bacteria
Description: partial 16S ribosomal RNA
Rfam family: Bacterial small subunit ribosomal RNA
Source: RNAcentral